AUACUUACCUGGCAAGGAGCUACCGUGAUCAAGAAGGCGGUUCACCCAGGGCGGGCUCAGCCAUUGCACUCUGGCUGUGCUGGCCCCUGCGAAUUUCCCAAAUGGGAAUCUCAUAUGCAUAAUUUAUGGUAGUGGGGGACUGCUUCGCGCUCUCCCUGA
Small nuclear RNA from Salvelinus sp. IW2-2015, 159 nucleotides. RefSeq annotates it as U1 spliceosomal RNA. The record is from RefSeq and is a predicted model, not a curated record. Lineage: Eukaryota; Metazoa; Chordata; Actinopteri; Salmoniformes; Salmonidae. The transcript has a single exon.